This 477-nucleotide ribosomal RNA is filed under the name uncultured bacterium. RNAcentral describes it as "partial 16S ribosomal RNA". It matches the Rfam family "Bacterial small subunit ribosomal RNA", at positions 30 to 507 of the family's 1533-position model. The record is from RNAcentral.
AUGAGCGCUGGCGGCGUGCCUAACACAUGCAAGUCGAACGGAGUCCAGCCUUUAAGACCUUCGGGUCAAAGAGGGGAAGACUGAGUGGCGGACGGGUGAGUAACACGUGGGCAACCUGGCUCAUAGAGGGGGAUAACAGAGAGAAAUUUCUGCUAAUACCGCAUAAGCACACACUGCCGCAUGGCAGGGGGUGAAAAGAGAAUCGCUAUGAGAUGGACCCGCGUCUGAUUAGCCAGUUGGCAGGGUAAGAGCCUACCAAAGCGACGAUCAGUAGCCGAUCUGAGAGGAUGAACGGCCACAUUGGGACUGAGACACGGCCCAAACUCCUACGGGAGGCAGCAGUGGGGGAUAUUGCACAAUGGGGGGAACCCUGAUGCAGCGACGCCGCGUGAGUGAAGAAGUAUUUCGGUAUGUAAAGCUCUAUCAGCAGGGAAGAUAAUGACAGUACCUGAAUAAGAAGCCCCGGCUAACUACGUG